CCCUUAGAUGUUCUGGGCCGCACGCGCGCUACACUGAUGCAUUCAACGAGUCUAAAACCUGGUCUGAUAGGGCUGGGUAAUCUUUUGAAAGUGCAUCGUGAUUGGGAUAGAUGAUUGCAAUUCUUCAUCUUCAACGAGGAAUGCCUAGUAAACGCAAGUCAUCAGCUUGCAUUGAUUACGUCCCUGCCCUUUGUACACACCGCCCGUCGCUCCUACCGAUUGAAUGAUCCGAUGAAUACCAUGGAUUGAGAGUUCGAAUAGGUUCGCCUAUUUCAGCUUCUCGAGAAGUGGGGUAAAUCUUAUCAUUUAGAGGAAGGAGAAGUCGUAACA
Molecule: ribosomal RNA, 330 nt
Filed under: uncultured eukaryote
Lineage: Eukaryota
Description: partial 18S ribosomal RNA
Rfam family: Eukaryotic small subunit ribosomal RNA
Source: RNAcentral